Long non-coding RNA from Phoenix dactylifera (date palm), 4510 nucleotides. RefSeq lists it as uncharacterized. The record is from RefSeq and is a predicted model, not a curated record. Lineage: Eukaryota; Viridiplantae; Streptophyta; Magnoliopsida; Arecales; Arecaceae.
UGCCUAAGGAUAUUUUCAUCCAAUAUAUGCACUGAUUUGGAUGGCCCAACCGUCUCUGAACGUCUCUACUUGUUAGAUAUCCGGAUGAAUGCUGCAAUACGUACGUAGAACCUCUCUUUUCUUCUAGCCUGGGCAUUCCGUGGGAAACAAGGGCCCGAACAUUAGCUUAGAUGUGAAAACUAUUGCAUAAUAACAACAACUCAAGCAAUAAGAAAUAAUCAUUUUAAAGGACAAAAGGAUCAAGAUAUUUUCAGAAAACUAAAAGUAGUUGGCAGGUUUAGCAAUCAGUGGUAUAGAGUCCAACCUAAAAUAACAGACAACGAAUCAAAUGAUGAAACUUUUGGAUCGAUUUGAUUCCGAACUUCCAAUGGCACACUAUGGCUAGCCAUGCGUACCCCACCCCCUAAAGCUCAUAUCCAGAAAAAUUCCGUGAUCAAGUGAGAUCUUGGUAAACAGUGACGGCAUUUGUUAUAUUUGGACCGUAAGAAACACAUAAAAACCUGCUACGUACGCCCUUCCUCACAAAAAACCAUUCAAGAGGACAGGAUAUUCUAAUUGAAUGGUCACAGUCUAUCGUCAUGUCAUUCUCCAAGAUGGCGAUUCGUUGCGAUACCAGAAAACAUAUUUUAAAAUAAUAAUAAUAAAAAAGAAGCUCCUCUGGCCAGUUAGGGUUGUAUUUAGCACUGGGAGACUGCUCUGAUGGCUUGGGAAGGUGGGAAAUGGUUGUCUACAAGCAUUGCUUGGGACGGACACCGACCCAAUUCUUGAGAGGGAAGCAUGGAAGAUGGGACCCAUCACCAAUAAUUUUAGAUGUUCUGUGCCACCAUGAAGGUAAGUACACAGUUGAAGGGAACGCACGGGAUUGGACACGUCGAGCCCUUGGCUCACCAAUCAGGAAAUGGGGGUCCACGGGUUGAGGUCACGGGUCGAUCCCACCAGAUAGACAAGGCAAAUGGCGAGUCAGCGUCAUCGCCUCAACCGCGUCCAUGAGUUAAAAAUACGGGUAAGGUUAAAAAAUUUAAUUUAUUUAAAUUUAAUCAUAAAUAUCAUGAUAAAUUUAUAGCCGGCUUUCAUUAAUCUAUACUGCAGUAUUUUAUAGUCUAUAUAAGCUAUAGGAUGAGUUCGUUUUGUUACUAUUUGCUACAAUUCAGGAUCUACUCAAAAUAACUAGUUAGAAUAUAUUAUUUAAAUUUCUUACUUUUAUAAAAAUGUUUAAAAUUUCUUUGGUAAAUAAUUAAUAUAGAAUUAAAUAUAUGUCCGUACGGUCCUCACGGUAGGCGCAUUAUUAGGUCACAACUUUUAUUAGUUCAUAUUUCAAAGGAGAAGAAAAAACAAAGAGGAAAAGGUGAGAGGAACGCGAUGGUGAAAUAUUAAAAAAGAAAAAAAGAAUUAAUAACAUAUUUUAUUGAACUUCUGGAAAGCGACAAAACUAAGGAUUUUACGACAAUAUCGGAUUUAAUUCUUCAAAAGCUGUACCGAGUCCAGAUCAAAUCUGCAAAGAAGAGCCGACACUGGAGAUGCGAGCUCAGUUUACAAAGAUGAUAUUUAAUAUUUAAUGAACUGGGAGAAUCGAAUAAAUCCAAGAUUAGCAAUCUAAAAUAAGUACAAGAAUGUAAUAUCCUGCACUAAGUUGCAGUCUCCGGGCUCACGAGUCACAAGAAUCAAGUCACGGGCUCAUGGACGUGGUCCAUCUAUGCCCAACAAUAUGAAGAAAACUCUAAUCCUGCUUGUGCAUUAUUAAAAAAAAAAAAAAUAUUAUUAUAUACAUAUUUUCACCUUCUCGACUAUUGCCUGAGUUCCGGUUAGAUCCUCGCAAGUUUAAAAAAAAAUUAAUUGAGUUUCUCAAGUUACUUGAUUUACCGGAAUUAUGUCGUAUGCCUGCCAUGCGGUGUCCCUCUGAUUUUUUAAGGACCGAAGCACCCGUGGCACAAUUUGUAUAAGGUGAAAACUUCUAGUAUCAAGGAAAUAUAAAACCGCAUGACCCCAGGUGAUUGCCAUCUCAUGUAACUAGAAUUUCUCUGCUACAAGAAAAGAGGAACCAAAGACAAAGAAGCUAAGAGAGAGAGAGAGAGAGAGAGAGAGAGAGAGAGAGAGAGAGAGAGUAUGCCUCACCAUGCAUGGAACCAAGUCCUCAAAUGAAUGAAACCAAACUGGGAGGACUAUGCGACCAUCGUCAUCCAAACAACUUUUGAAGGAUACUCGGUACCCUCCUACAUCGUUUUCUUGGUGAAAGAUUCGAUCUCUUUAAUAUUCUUUAUGUUGGGGUAGAAUGGGGAGGGAAGCAAGGAGAGUGCUUAUUAAGGGCUUUGAGAAAGGUUGGUGAAGCUGCAGGCACUGGUGAAGGGACACAACAUGCGGAAGUAGGACGCAAGUACGCCCUGGCUAGGAUCCAGGCCUGGGUGAGAGACCCUGUGGACCGGCUCGCCCAGGAGGCAGCCGGACGCAGCAGCAACAAGUCCUCCCUUUAGCUGCGACACCUCCAUUCGGGACUCCAGAUACCUCCAGAAGCUGGCAUCGAGAAGAUCCAUGGUGUUUCCAAGCAAGAUGCUUUCGAGUGUUGGGAGAUACCUGACAGUCGAGAGAAAGGAGUAGCUUUGUGGACGUUUAAGAUGAUCGGCCACAGAGCAUCGAGGAGAUCCAAGCUAUGGUGCAGAGGAGAAAGGAGCCUGCUUUGAAACGAGAGCGAGCCCUCUCAUGUGCCUCGUCUCUUACUCGUUGCUUUCAGCAUUAUAUUUCCUCUCUGUAUCAAAAUUUGAGCCCCGAUUGAUUUGUUUUGCACUUUUGCCUUGCUCCGAGCCUAUUUCCGGCCCAUUCGGAAGUUCUAGAGACCCCAUAUAUAGGAAUUUAUCCCUAUGAAUCUAUGAUGGAGGAAGAAGUGUUCUCGAUCGGGAGGAGAGCAGAGGCCUCGGGGUCCUCCCCUUUUCACCGCCCCCACCACUCCUGUGAUGUCAUCGCCCACCGAGUUGUGGCCUCUGCAAGUCCUCGCUGCGGAAGGGAGCAGCAGAAGAGCUCCCUCGCCUACCACCACCACCCAACGGCGGUGCCAAGCUACAUAACACCGAUGGAGUCGGUUGUGGCCCAACCGCGGUUGCAGAGUGCGCCGAGACAAAGCCCCAAGGUGAGUCUACGAGAGAUGCAGCGGCGAGAGCUUGGCCGAAAGAGAGGAGCACGGGUUGAAUAUGCAUGAGAGGAGCGUGCUUUUGAGCCAAUGGGAUGCUGCUUCACCGAGGCCAUGGCCACGGGUUUGGCUCGCGCGCGCACAAGGUGAUCCCUUUGAUCUUUUUUGAUGGUAUAUAAUAGGAUCGUCCUUUUGUCGAUGGUAUAUAUAGGAUCGUCGGACAAAACUAUACUACGGAUCCCUCUCCAUCCGUCCCUCUCUCUCUCUGCCUUCUCCUGACACAAGACGUGGGGCACCUUCGACUUUGGCCGCGCAUCUCCCCGGUUGCGCUCAUGACAGAAGACGUGGGGCGCCUCCGGCCGCGCGUCGAACCUAAGGUCUCCACUUUACGAAGCUGUACGUGUGGUAGGUUGAGCGCUAGUUCCUGUGACUGAGGUAAGCUCAAGGAGAGAUCCGUCCUCCAAGAACCUUCUGCUCUGUUUCUUGACAAUAUUAUGAAGAUCUUACGCGAAUCAUUUAGCUAGUUGCUGCAGGUGCAGCACAUUGAGUGCUGGUUCCUGUGGCUGAAAUCUCUGUUUAUUGAUAAUAUUUUGAAGAUCUUAUGUGGAUCACUAAUCUAAUUGCUCCAUGUUAAAUUCAAGAACCCUUCUACUCUGUUUGUUGAUAAUUUUUCAAUUUUUUUUUUUAAUCAUUCCUUUGUCGCCAUUUCUUUUUUGUAGUAUCUUGAUUUUUUUUCUAUCUUCUUGAUAAUUUUUUUACUUUUAGAAUUUGCAUGAAUGAAUUUUUUUUUUGGAUAAAAUUUAAAUUUUCACUUGAUCAUGGAUGAUUGAUUUAUUUUGUAUAUAUCAUACGGUCAAAUGGUUAUAUCAAUAAAAAAUACGUUCUGUUCUAAAAAUAAGAAGAAAAAAACAGAAUUCUAUAUUUUUUUUAUCUAUGGAGAUGCCUUUCAUUUUUAUUUUUUCGAAAUAAAUAUUAAAAAUGAUAAAAUAAGAAGUCUGUCUUUAUUUUUUGUUAAUUUUUAUUUCACAAAUCUUUGCCCUUCUUCGGUGUUUCCCCAGAAUCCUGACCUUACGACUCUAUUUCAGGAAUAUAUACUUGCGUGAAAAAAAAACAUGCAUUUCCACCCUCGCUUCAGAGGGUUUUAUUUUUCUGAGAGGCUUGCAAACCUAGAACCCCAAAGCAGAUAAGAGUGAUCAUUUGUAUCCUUCGGUGUCCCACAAGUUAAGCAGAUAAGACUGUUGGUCCAGCACUACUUCAACACCAAAGACCUUUGGUAUUGUCAUCUGCAAUUAUAUUUCGGGUUGUCCAGAUACAGGUAACCAGAUAUUGGAUUGAAUUUAAUGAGUUUCUGCAAGACCAGACAAUAUAACGCCGUGUGCUAGCUGAUUUCAA